This 180-nucleotide non-coding RNA is filed under the name Pseudoalteromonas sp. 3J6. RNAcentral describes it as "Lysine". It matches the Rfam family "Lysine riboswitch aptamer". Rfam says of the family: Riboswitches are metabolite binding domains within certain messenger RNAs that serve as precision sensors for their corresponding targets. Allosteric rearrangement of mRNA structure is mediated by ligand binding, and this results in modulation of gene expression. This family includes riboswitches that sense lysine in a number of genes involved in lysine metabolism, including lysC. The record is from RNAcentral. Lineage: Bacteria; Pseudomonadati; Pseudomonadota; Gammaproteobacteria; Alteromonadales; Pseudoalteromonadaceae.
AGGGCUGGAAGAGGUGCGUUAUUCAGGUAGCGUAUGUUAGGAGCGCAAACUCCAUUGAGCAUACGUGAGGGGAAUUAACGCCGAGAGGUAACACUUUUUUGUGAAAGGUUACUUCGGGCGACUAGGUUGAAUCCUAGCGACUGUCACCAAUAACAUAUUUGGUGGAGAGCUUCUGGUCUU